UUAGAAAAUCCAUAAACACAU
RNAcentral lists this non-coding RNA (21 nucleotides) under Caenorhabditis elegans. Lineage: Eukaryota; Metazoa; Nematoda; Chromadorea; Rhabditida; Rhabditidae. The record is from RNAcentral.